Molecule: small RNA, 4154 nt
Filed under: Pongo abelii (Sumatran orangutan)
Lineage: Eukaryota; Metazoa; Chordata; Mammalia; Primates; Hominidae
Description: retained intron
Source: RNAcentral
GGUGGACACCUUGAGGCCUAAAGGUUGGUGACUGGCUGUACCUGACACCCUGUGUGAUUCUAGGUUGCCCCUUGCUCCUCUCUGGGCCUUAGCCUUUCUGUCUAUGCAGUGGGGAUUUCAGAUUGCUGUUUUUUCAGAGUCUGAGAGGGCCCUUGUGUGGAGUCACCUCUGAGCUGCAGGCAGGAUUUCCAGGGCAAGAAGGCCACAGCGUCAGCAGGCACCUGUCUUUGGCCUGUGAGCCAUAGCCUAAGGCGUGCCCUUCCCGACCUUGGCCAGAUCACGCUAGAGUCCUCUGAGGCCUCCCCUCCCUUGCCCAGCCACCUUCUCCACUCUGCGGGGCUCCACUUUCACUUUCACGCUCCCAGGCUGUGGCUCUUACCCGUGCCGCGCUUUCACAUCCGCUCACAUCUGUGCUCCCAGAUGCCAGCGUGACCCCUGACAUGUGUGUGCAGCAACCUGCAGCUGCCCCAAGCCAUGGCUGAACACUGACUCCCAGCCGUGGGGCUUCACCAUUACAGACUCCCCGGGGCUUCAAAGACUUCUCAGCUUCGAGCAUGGCCUUUUGGGUGUCAGGGCAGCUGUACAAUAGUGGGUAAGUCACCGGCCUUUGGGCUCAGUUUUCUCAUCCAUCAAAUGGACAUUAAUGAUUUCUACAAUGAGAGCUCUUAACCCACGUUCUGGGGGUACUUACCCCUGAAGUUUUCUGCCAGUGUGCGCGUGUGCCCGCAGGUGCACACAUUCCCAAGCAUCUGUUCAGUUCCCGAGUAUGGGUGGGGUCUUUCCCUUUCAUUAGUUCUCAGCAGCUAUGGCUUCUUGAAGUCAAAAUCUGGGCUCUAAAUAAAUAGUUCCAGCUCCGGCAUUCCUGAUCCUUGAGUGGGAGGGGCCCACCCCAGACUUGAGAACUGCCUCCCUGUGUGGUUGUGGCACCAUGGACACUGACUUUUUCGGGGCCCCAAUCUUCUGGUGACAUAGCUGCUAUUCAGACUUUCAUCAAGAGAAAUGUUUUUCUCUUUGCACAUGAAAUCUACUGUCGAAACUCAGCAAAACCCCCUAGGAUCCCGAGGGUUGUGUGUGAGGCAGGAGAUGCUGUGUUUUUUGAGGAAUUCCUGAGCUUCCUCCAAGCAGUUUUAAAAUCCCUGGGUGGGUGAUUCUUCAGGGAGGUUCCAUGUGUCUGUGACAUCUGGUGAGUCCAGGUAUGGACAAUAUUUUAAAGUUCCGGUUUCAUUCCAGUUUAAUAGUUUCAAAAAGAUACUUAAGCGUUCAGAGCACAUUCUUGUUUGAAUGACUCAUUAGGAUUUUUUAAACUUUAGUUCAGGUAGAAGACACCCUGGGCUGGGUUCAGUGACCGCCCUGGCUUUGGGGUUUGGCUUGGUUCUGGUCCAUAAGCAGAGACUGCCUGGUUCUCCUUUAUCCCCAGAGGCAACUUUGACCCUGUUUCCUUUUCUGUAAAAUGGGGACAGUGAUGCUUCUUUUAUAGGGUUGUCGGGAAGGCCAUAUAAGAGAGUGGGGUCAAGCUGGCCUGGCACCUGCCAAAGCAGGAGCUAGAUAGACAGUGGUUACCUCUCCCUCUUCUCCUAUAAAUGACCAGCUGUGUUUUUGAUGGACCAGAAAGUUCAAGCAAGAAGACAGGGUGAGAAUUGUUACACAGCUAAGUCAAAGGGGCUUUGGGGGUUCCAUCUGGCACCUCAGCUUUCAGACUGGGGGGCCGGGGUUCAGGCCACUGCCUGAUUUCAUGUCAGCUCAUGCAUGGUGUCUGGCAUCUGGGAGCCUCCUCUUCUGAACCGUUCUUGUUUUCUUUUUGUUUCCCAGAUGUUUGAGACGGAGGCAGAUGAGAAGAGGGAGAUGCCCUUGGAGGAAGGGAAGGGGCCUGGUGCCGAGGAUUCCCCACCCAGCAAGGAGCCCUCUCCUGGCCAGGAGCUUCCUCCAGGACAAGACCUUCCACCCAACAAGGAUUCCCCUUCUGGGCAGGAACCCGCUCCCGGCCAAGAACCACUGUCCAGCAAAGACUCAGCUACCUCUGAAGGAUCCCCUCCAGGCCCAGACGCUCCGCCCAGCAAGGAUGCGCCACCAUGCCAGGAACCCCCUCCAGCCCAAGACCUCUCACCCUGCCAGGACCUGCCUGCUGGUCAAGAACCCCUGCCUCACCAGGACCCUCUACUCACCAAAGACCUCCCUGCCAUCCAGGAAUCCCCCACCCAGGACCCUCCACCCUGUCAAGAUCUGCCUCCUAGCCAGGUCUCUCUGCCGGCCAAGGCCCUUACUGAGGACACCAUGAGCUCCGGGGACCCACUAGCAGCUACCGGGGACCCACCUGCGGCCUCCAGGCCAGCCUUUGUGAUCCCCGAGGUCCGGCUGGAUAGCACCUACAGCCAGAAGGCAGGGGCAGAGCAGGGCUGCUCGGGAGAUGAGGAGGAUGCAGAAGAGGCCGAGGAGGUGGAGGAGGGGGAGGAAGGGGAGGAGGACGAGGAUGAGGACACCAGCGAUGACAACUACGGAGAGCGCAGUGAGGCCAAGCGCAGCAGCAUGAUCGAGACGGGCCAGGGGGCUGAGGGUGGCCUCUCACUGCGUGUGCAGAACUCGCUGCGGCGCCGGACACACAGCGAGGGCAGCCUGCUGCAGGAGCCCCGAGGGCCCUGCUUCGCCUCCGACACCACCUUGCACUGCUCAGACGGUGAGGGUGCCGCCUCCACCUGGGGCAUGCCUUCGCCCAGCACCCUCAAGAAAGAGCUGGGCCGCAAUGGUGGCUCCAUGCACCACCUUUCCCUCUUCUUCACAGGACACAGGAAGAUGAGCGGGGCUGACACUGUUGGGGAUGAUGACGAAGCCUCCCGGAAGAGAAAGAGCAAAAACCUAGCCAAGGACAUGAAGAACAAGCUGGGCAUCUUCAGACGGCGGAACGAGUCCCCUGGAGCCCCUCCUGCGGGCAAGGCAGACAAGAUGAUGAAGUCAUUCAAGCCCACCUCAGAGGAAGCCCUCAAGUGGGGCGAGUCCUUGGAGAAGCUGCUGGUUCACAAAUACGGGUUAGCAGUGUUCCAAGCCUUCCUUCGCACUGAGUUCAGCGAGGAGAAUCUGGAGUUCUGGUUGGCUUGUGAGGACUUCAAGAAGGUCAAGUCACAGUCCAAGAUGGCAUCCAAGGCCAAGAAGAUCUUUGCUGAAUACAUCGCAAUCCAGGCGUGCAAGGAGGUCAACCUGGACUCCUACACGCGGGAGCACACCAAGGACAACCUGCAGAGCGUCACGCGGGGCUGCUUCGACCUGGCACAGAAGCGCAUCUUUGGGCUCAUGGAAAAGGACUCGUACCCUCGCUUUCUCCGUUCUGACCUCUACCUGGACCUUAUUAACCAGAAGAAGAUGAGUCCCCCGCUUUAGGGGCCACUGGAGUCGAGCUCAGCGUUCACACCAGGCGGGCUGGGUCCCCUGCCCACCUGCCUCCCUCCCCCCUGUGACGGAGGGGGCAAGCAAGCCCCCAGAGGCUGUGUCUCUGGACAGACGGAUAGACAUACGGAAGCGAGGCCUGGACCAAGAGAGGCCCAGGCUACUGGAGGAGUAGAAGGAUGGGCCCCGUGGGGUCCCUACUGCCCCGGUACGAGGGGGCCCAAGGACCCUGGCAGGUCAGGGGCCCCGGCCAAGCCAGAUCUGGAGCUGCUGCUCCCUGCUGCGGAGACCACGGAGGCUUUGCGUUGACCAAGUUCCUUAAAGAACUGGCUGAUGGGGCAGGAGGUCCAGGCCUGGGCUCUCGGGCCCUCCUGGAGGGCCAUUGGAGCUCGCAGCUCAGACCCCCACUUUGAGUUUUAUUUAUUUAAAUAGUAGUUGGAUGCUUGGCACGUCGUCCUGUAAUAGGAAACCCUUGCCUCAUCAGUUUUCCUGAUUUACAAGUGCAAUAUUUUAGCCAAUGCCUUGUGAGAAGCUGCCAUGCAAAGGUGGACACCAUUCUCUAGCUUCAGGGGAUGUGCUCGUCUCAGGCACCGGUGGCAGGCAGCUGGCCUUCUGGACUAAGGCAGCCUGGGGGGACACUGCAGUCUGGCUACACACAGAGAUCUGGCACCCCCUGGGUGGAGUGUCCCUCGGGGGCUUUGGGAAAGCAUGGCACCCUCAGACCACACAGUAGCCGAGUUCUGGAGCAAAUAAAAGGCCUGUGUUAUUUCUUGUUCUUG